AUCCAGCUGACGAGUGUCAAAAAUGACGAAACGUGCGUCAAACUAGAU
Molecule: non-coding RNA, 48 nt
Organism: Schistosoma curassoni
Lineage: Eukaryota; Metazoa; Platyhelminthes; Trematoda; Strigeidida; Schistosomatidae
Source: Rfam